CAGUCGCCGCGGGAAUACGGAGGGUGCAAGCGUUAAUCGGAAUUACUGGGCGUAAAGCGCACGCAGGCGGUCUGACAAGUCAGAUGUGAAAUCCCCGGGCUUAACCUGGGAACUGCAUUUGAAACUGUCAGGCUGGAGUCUUGUAGAGGGGGGUAGAAUUCCAGGUGUAGCGGUGAAAUGCGUAGAGAUCUGGAGGAAUACCGGUGGCGAAGGCGGCCCCCUGGACAAAGACUGACGCUCAGGUGCGAAAGCGUGGGGAGCAAACAGGAUUAGAUAACCGCGUAGUCCCUGUCUCUUAUAC
Molecule: ribosomal RNA, 301 nt
Filed under: uncultured bacterium
Lineage: Bacteria
Description: partial 16S ribosomal RNA
Rfam family: Bacterial small subunit ribosomal RNA
Source: RNAcentral